GUUCAGAGAGGAAGAGACGAAAGAUG
RNAcentral lists this small RNA (26 nucleotides) under Arabidopsis thaliana (thale cress). Its description in RNAcentral is "ATSL022080". Lineage: Eukaryota; Viridiplantae; Streptophyta; Magnoliopsida; Brassicales; Brassicaceae. The record is from RNAcentral.